AGGCAGGUCACCAUGCGAGCGACCACAAUACUGAUAGGGUUGGCUAGAUCGGGCAGGUUGAGCUGUAGGUGGGGGCAAGGCAGGAGAAAGGACAACUUUUAUUCGUUUAUCUGGAUGUCUACUUACUGGGUCAGGUAAUCUCCUCUUAAUUUGCAGAGGUUGUUGUUGGGUACGGACUCGGGCAAUAUGUUGAUGCUUGGUCGAGAUGAGAUCUUCGACUAAU
RNAcentral lists this long non-coding RNA (223 nucleotides) under Carica papaya (papaya). Its description in RNAcentral is "long non-coding RNA (CPAP_LNC010694)". The record is from RNAcentral. Lineage: Eukaryota; Viridiplantae; Streptophyta; Magnoliopsida; Brassicales; Caricaceae.